AAUAGCGUAUAUUAAAGUUGCUGCAGUUAAAAAGCUCGUAGUUGGAUCUCGGUUGCACUGUAUCCUACCAUUGCUCGUUCAGUUGAGUCUUGCUGCAUGCUUACGUGUGCGCUUGGCUUGCUGUUCUGAGUUGGUGUGGAAGCGGUGUUACCUUUCAGUCAUGUCUGUGGUGCAAUACCCACAGGUGUAGGUGAGUGUCAGGCGUGGCUUAGCUUCCGGUUAGGCCCGUCGGCUCGCCUGCAUGCUGGUAGAUGCCCUUCACCGGGUGUCUGCUGGCGGAUGGCACGUUUACUUUGAACAAAUUUGAGUGCUCAAACCAGGCCGAUGUUGCCUGAAAAGUUUUGCAUGGAAUAAUGGAAUAGGACUUCGGUUCUAUUUCGUUGGUUUUCGGAUCCGAAGUAAUGAUCAAAAGAGACAGGCGGGGACGUUUGUAUGCCUGCGUGAGAGGUGAAAUUCAUGGAUCGUAGGCAGACAGACAAAAGCGAAAGCAUUCGUCAAGCAUGUUUUCAUUGACCAUGAGCGAAAGUCAGAGGCUCGAAGACGAUCAGAUAC
This 552-nucleotide ribosomal RNA is filed under the name Prochristianella sp. 7SS. Its description in RNAcentral is "SSU rRNA". It matches the Rfam family "Eukaryotic small subunit ribosomal RNA", at positions 593 to 1015 of the family's 1831-position model. The record is from RNAcentral. Lineage: Eukaryota; Metazoa; Platyhelminthes; Cestoda; Trypanorhyncha; Eutetrarhynchidae.